This 468-nucleotide ribosomal RNA is filed under the name uncultured bacterium. RNAcentral describes it as "partial 16S ribosomal RNA". It matches the Rfam family "Bacterial small subunit ribosomal RNA", at positions 28 to 507 of the family's 1533-position model. The record is from RNAcentral.
GACGAACGCUGGCGGCGUGCUUAACACAUGCAAGUCGAACGGAAAGGCCCUGCUUUUGUGCGGUGCUCGAGUGGCGAACGGGUGAGUAACACGUGAGUAACCUGCCCUUGACUUUGGGAUAACUUCAGGAAACUGGGGCUAAUACCGGAUAGCAGAUCCUGCUGCAUGGUGAGGGUUGGAAAGUCUCGGCGGUUGGGGCUGGACGCGCGGCUUAUCAGCUUGUUGGUGGGGUAGUGGCUUACCAAGGCUUUGACGGGUAGCCGGCCUGGGAGGGUGACCGGGGACAUUGGGACUGAGGUACGGCCCAGAGUCCUACGGGAGGCAGCAGUGGGGAGUAUUGCACAAUGGGCGGAAGCCUGAUGCAGCGACGCCGCGGGCGGGAUGACGGCCUUCGGGUUAUAAACCGCUUUCGCCUGUGACGAAGCGUGAGUGACGGUAAUGGGUAAAGAAGCACCGGCUAACUACGUG